AUUGAACGCUGGCGGCAUGCUUUACACAUGCAAGUCGAACGGCAGCGCGGGCUUCGGCCUGGCGGCGAGUGGCGAACGGGUGAGUAAUACAUCGGAACGUGCCCAGUUGUGGGGGAUAGCUCGGCGAAAGCCGGAUUAAUACCGCAUACGACCUGAGGGUGAAAGCGGGGGAUCUUCGGACCUCUCGCUAUUGGAGCGUCCGAUGGCAGAUUAGCUAGUUGGUGGGGUAAAGGCCUACCAAGGCGACGAUCUGUAGCUGGUCUGAGAGGACGACCAGCCACACUGGAACUGAGACACGGCCCAGGCUCCUACGGGAGGCAGCAGUGGGGAAUUUUGGACAAUGGGCGAAAGCAUGAUCCAGCAAUGCCGAGUGUGAGAUGAAGGCGUUCGGGUUGUAAAGCACUUUUGGCGGGAACGAAAAGGACUGUGCCAAUACCACGGUUGGAUGACGGUACCCGCAGAAUAAGCACCGGCUAACUACGUG
RNAcentral lists this ribosomal RNA (484 nucleotides) under uncultured bacterium. RNAcentral's name for it is "partial 16S ribosomal RNA". It matches the Rfam family "Bacterial small subunit ribosomal RNA", at positions 29 to 507 of the family's 1533-position model. The record is from RNAcentral.